This 623-nucleotide ribosomal RNA is filed under the name uncultured Fusobacteriota bacterium. RNAcentral describes it as "bacterial SSU rRNA". It matches the Rfam family "Bacterial small subunit ribosomal RNA", at positions 99 to 736 of the family's 1533-position model. Lineage: Bacteria; Fusobacteriati; Fusobacteriota. The record is from RNAcentral.
CGGACGGGUGAGUAACGCGUAAAGAACUUGCCUUACAGACUGGGACAACAUUUGGAAACGAAUGCUAAUACCGGAUAUUAUGAUUGGGUCGCAUGAUCUGAUUAUGAAAGCUAUAUGCGCUGUGAGAGAGCUUUGCGUCCCAUUAGUUAGUUGGUGAGGUAACGGCUCACCAAGACGAUGAUGGGUAGCCGGCCUGAGAGGGUGAACGGCCACAAGGGGACUGAGACACGGCCCUUACUCCUACGGGAGGCAGCAGUGGGGAAUAUUGGACAAUGGACCAAAAGUCUGAUCCAGCAAUUCUGUGUGCACGAAGAAGUUUUUCGGAAUGUAAAGUGCUUUCAGUUGGGAAGAAGUCAGUGACGGUACCAACAGAAGAAGCGACGGCUAAAUACGUGCCAGCAGCCGCGGUAAUACGUAUGUCGCAAGCGUUAUCCGGAUUUAUUGGGCGUAAAGCGCGUCUAGGCGGCUUAGUAAGUCUGAUGUGAAAAUGCGGGGCUCAACCCCGUAUUGCGUUGGAAACUGCUAAACUAGAGUACUGGAGAGGUAGGCGGAACUACAAGUGUAGAGGUGAAAUUCGUAGAUAUUUGUAGGAAUGCCGAUGGGGAAGCCAGCCUACUGGACAG